RNAcentral lists this ribosomal RNA (497 nucleotides) under uncultured bacterium. RNAcentral describes it as "partial 16S ribosomal RNA". It matches the Rfam family "Bacterial small subunit ribosomal RNA", at positions 28 to 507 of the family's 1533-position model. The record is from RNAcentral.
GAUGAACGCUGGCGGCGUGCCUAAUACAUGCAAGUCGAGCGAACAGACGAGGAGCUUGCUCCUCUGACGUUAGCGGCGGACGGGUGAGUAACACGUGGAUAACCUACCUAUAAGACUGGGAUAACUUCGGGAAACCGGAGCUAAUACCGGAUAAUAUAUUGAACCGCAUGGUUCAAUAGUGAAAGACGGUUUUGCUGUCACUUAUAGAUGGAUCCGCGCCGCAUUAGCUAGUUGGUAAGGUAACGGCUUACCAAGGCGACGAUGCGUAGCCGACCUGAGAGGGUGAUCGGCCACACUGGAACUGAGACACGGUCCAGACUCCUACGGGAGGCAGCAGUAGGGAAUCUUCCGCAAUGGGCGAAAGCCUGACGGAGCAACGCCGCGUGAGUGAUGAAGGUCUUCGGAUCAUAAAACUCUGUUAUUAGGGAAGAACAAAUGUGUAAGUAACUAUGCACGUCUUGACGGUACCUAAUCAGAAAGCCACGGCUAACUACGUG